RNAcentral lists this ribosomal RNA (252 nucleotides) under uncultured bacterium. RNAcentral's name for it is "partial 16S ribosomal RNA". It matches the Rfam family "Bacterial small subunit ribosomal RNA", at positions 1250 to 1500 of the family's 1533-position model. The record is from RNAcentral.
CGAGCCUGCGAAGGCAAGCGGAUCUCUUAAAGCUGUUCUCAGUUCGGACUGCAGUCUGCAACUCGACUGCACGAAGCUGGAAUCGCUAGUAAUCGCGGAUCAGCACGCCGCGGUGAAUACGUUCCCGGGCCUUGUACACACCGCCCGUCACACCAUGAGAGUCGAUAACACCCGAAGCCUGUGAGCUAACCUUUUAGGAGGCAGCAGUCGAAGGUGGGGUUGAUGAUUGGGGUGAAGUCGUAACAAGGUAAC